UACAGAGACCCCAAGCGUUAUCCGGUUUCAUUGGGCGUAAAGCGUUCCGAUAGGUGGUUUUAUGUGUCUAAGGUUAAAGACCGCAGCUUAACUGCGUGUUUGCCUUGGAAACUAUAUUACUUGAGGUAUGAAGAGGUAACUGGAACUCUACAAGUAGGGGUGAAAUCCGUUGAUAUGUAGGGGAACACCAAAAGCGAAGGCAAGUUACUGGGCAUAUUCUGACACUUCUAGGACGAAAGCGUGGGUAGCGAUACGG
This 256-nucleotide ribosomal RNA is filed under the name uncultured bacterium. RNAcentral's name for it is "partial 16S ribosomal RNA". It matches the Rfam family "Bacterial small subunit ribosomal RNA", at positions 524 to 776 of the family's 1533-position model. The record is from RNAcentral.